ACUCUCGGCAACGGAUAUCUCGGCUCUCGCAUCGAUGAAGAACGUAGCAAAAUGCGAUACCUGGUGUGAAUUGCAGAAUCCCGCGAACCAUCGAGUUUUUGAACGCAAGUUGCGCCCGAAGCCUUCUAGCGGAGGGCACGUCUGCCUGGGCGUCACGCCAAAAGACACUCCCAACACCGCCCCCCCGCGGGGCGAGGGACGUGGCGUCUGGCCCCCCGCGCCGCAGGGCGAGGUGGGCCGAAGCAGGGGCUGCCGGCGAACCGCGCCGGGCGCAGCACGUGGUGGGCGACAUCAAGUUGUUCUCGGUGCAGCGUCCCGGCGCGCGGCCGGCCAUUCGGCCCUAAGGACCCAUCGAGCGACCGAGAUUGCCCUCGGACCGCGACCCCAGGUCAGUCGGGACUACCCGCUGAGUUUAAGCAUAUAAAUAAGCGGAGGAGAAGAAACUUACGAGGAUUCCCCUAGUAACGGCGAGCGAACCGGGAGCAGCCCAGCUUGAGAAUCGGGCGGCCUCGCCGCCCGAAUUGUAGUCUGGAGAGGCGUCCUCAGCGACGGACCGGGCCCAAGUUCUCUGGAAAGGGACGCCUGGGAGGGUGAGAGCCCCGUCCGGCCCGGACCCUGUCGCACCACGAGGCGCCGUCAAUGAGUCGGGUUGUUUGGGAAUGCAGCCCAAAUCGGGCGUUAAACUCCGUCCAAGGCUAAAUACAGGCGAGAGACCGAUAGCGAACAAGUACCGCGAGGGAAAGAUGAAAAGGACUUUGAAAAGAGAGUCAAAGAGUGCUUGAAAUUGCCGGGAGGGAAGCGGAUGGGGGCUGGCGACGCGCACCGGCCGUAUGCGGAACGGCUCCUGUUGGUCCGCUGAUCGGCUCGGGGCGUGGACCGUUGUCGCCCGCGCCGGUGGCCAAAGCCCGGGGGCCCUAGGCGCCCCCGGCAGCCGUCGUCGGCACGGACGGUAUCCGCGCGCCUCUGGCGCGCCCCUCGGGGCGCUGCGCCGCAACGGCCUGCGAGCUCCCCAUCCGACCCGUCUUGAAACACGGACCAAGGAGUCUGACAUGCGUGCGAGUCGACGGGUUCAGAAACCUGAGAUGCGCAAGGAAGCUGACGAGCGGGAGGCCCUCACGAGCCGCACCGCUGGCCGACCCUGAUCUUCUGUGAAGGGUUCGAGUUGGAGCACGCCUGUCGGGACCCGAAAGAUGGUGAACUAUGCCUGAGCGGGGCGAAGCCAGAGGAAACUCUGGUGGAGGCUCGAAGCGAUACUGACGUGCAAAUCGUUCGUCUGACUUUGGUAUAGGGGCGAAAGACUAAUCGAACCAUCUAGUAGCUGGUUCCCUCCGAAGUUUCCCUCAGGAUAGCUGGAGCCCACACGAGUUCUAUCGGGUAAAGCCAAUGAUUAGAGGCAUCGGGGGCACAACGCCCUCAACCUAUUCUCAAACUUUAAAUAGGUAGGACGGUGCGGCUGCUUCGGUGAGCCGUGCCACGGAAUCGGGAGCUCCAAGUGGGCCAUUUUUGGUAAGCAGAACUGGCGAUGCGGGAUGAACCGUGUCACACCCGGUUCCAGGGGGUAGAACCGAGCGCAUACCAUAUGUGUGCCAGGAUCCAUCUCCACACAUAUGUUGACGUCACAAGUGUAAUAUAUCAAAAGACAAUGCAAUAAAGGCGUAAAGAGAGUAUAAUACUUUAUUACAUCAUCUGAAACAUUGUAUCUUUAACAAGUAUCACAUCAAAGUAAAGCGGAAAUAAACAUCUGGGCAAUCUCCCACAGGAAGAUGACCGGCGCAUCGUUAGACUUAGAAAUCAUCGUCGUCGAUAAAAUCUCCAUCAAAGUCUCCAGCAUCACCCUCUGAUCAAAAUAUUAGCAAGGGUGAGCUCACUUAUGGUCGGGGCUCAGCAAGUGGGGGAAAAACUAAUGCAAGUAUAACAAGGUGAGGCUAAGUUUGAGCAGUAAGCAUUUUAGUUGGUCAACAUUUUAUUAACAUCACCUGUCUUACUAAUAAGUGUGAGUCCCAAAUAUCCCAUUUAAACAAAGGAAUAUGAAUAUAGCAAAAACACUUAAGUGAAACCACUUAAGCAAAUUAUUGGCAGAUCAUCGGAUCUCAAUUUAAUUCCAUCUUCAAGUUCAAUUAUCAUGUGAGGAGUCCAGGUCGCUCAUAACCGGGAGCACGGCUGAUAUAUCAGUUUUACACUCUGCAGAGGUGGUACAACUUUACCCACAAGCCAUGUAUCCCAUCUAGCCCGGGUUGAUCGGACCCUUAGACACUGCCGAGGUGAAUGGCUAGGGAUCCAUUAUGAGGUUUUCACAAAAUACGCUUAAUACAAAGCAACCCGCUAAGGUUUCUAAGACGAUGGUGGUGGCCCCCUGGGUGAAGUACCUUAGCCAAGAAUACGACCCCAUGUUAACGUGGGCUGUCAGCACCUACCGCUCCCCCUCUUGCCCAUCUUUCAGGUAAGGUUGCUAGGCACUAAGCAUAUAGAGGUAUUUACCAAAGCCAGAGCCAUGAUAGCACUCGUGGUUGCACUGUUAUCCUGGGUGGUCACUCCAUGUUCCAAUUAAAUUUGUAAUAAAGUUAUCUUAACCAUCGGGUUAAUGUCAUAUUUGCCAAUUAACAUUUUUGGAACAUUAAAACCAAUUAAAGAGUGACAUUAAGAAUCAUUAAGUUGAGCGGUAGCAUGAAUCUUGCACAGCUUAAUUAUUUUCCCAGGUUAAACAAGGAAUACAGAUAGUAAAUCUAGGAAAUCCUUAAUUAGGUGAAACCCAUCAAAUUAUGCAGUAUAUCAAAAAGGUAAACAUUAUUAUAUGCAGUGAAUAGGUACAAACAGAGUAUGCAGAGGGAGAAUCCACUUGCCUUGCUCAAGCGAGUCCUGCGGAAAGUCCUCGAACGAGUUCGGUUCGUCUACCGCACAGUCGGCUUCUAAUAGAGUCGCAUAGCGCACAUACAAAAAUAAAACAUACGCCAAUAAAUAA
Molecule: ribosomal RNA, 2959 nt
Filed under: Zea mays subsp. mays (maize)
Lineage: Eukaryota; Viridiplantae; Streptophyta; Magnoliopsida; Poales; Poaceae
Description: eukaryotic LSU rRNA
Rfam family: Eukaryotic large subunit ribosomal RNA (bases 381-1724)
Source: RNAcentral